RNAcentral lists this unclassified non-coding RNA (374 nucleotides) under air metagenome. RNAcentral's name for it is "partial contains small subunit ribosomal RNA, internal transcribed spacer 1, and 5.8S ribosomal RNA". The stretch from base 1 to 46 matches the Rfam family "Eukaryotic small subunit ribosomal RNA", at positions 1786 to 1831 of the family's 1831-position model. The record is from RNAcentral.
AAGUCGUAACAAGGUUUCCGUAGGUGAACCUGCGGAAGGAUCAUUAUUGAAUAACCUUGAUAGGUUGUAGCUGGCCUCUCGAGGCAUGUGCACGCCUGUCUUGACUUUAUUCAUUCACCUGUGCACCUAUUGUAGUCUUUUCACACCUUGAAAAAGGGUUCAGGAAAGUAAUGGAUUUUUGUUCAGUUGAAACACACUGGAUUUGAGAAUUGCCUUUGGCUUUUCUCUCUUUACUGUCCUUAUGAAACUGUACCUUAGGGAGAAAAGGGCUAUGUCUUAUCAUAAACCAUGUUGUAUGUUACCAGAAUGUAUUCAAUGGGUCUGAGUACCUAUAAAACCUUAUACAACUUUCAGCAACGGAUCUCUUGGCUCUC